Molecule: ribosomal RNA, 245 nt
Filed under: uncultured bacterium
Lineage: Bacteria
Description: partial 16S ribosomal RNA
Rfam family: Bacterial small subunit ribosomal RNA
Source: RNAcentral
GACGAAGGUGGCGAGCGUUACUCGGAAUUACUAGGCGUAAAGCGUGGGCAGGCGGUUCGGUAAGUCUGUUGUGAAAGCUCCCGGCUCAACUGGGAGAGGCCAAUGGAUACUGCCGGGCUUGAAUGUGGGAGGGGUCACUGGAAUUCCCGGUGUAGCGGUGAAAUGCGUAGAGAUCGGGAGGAACAUCUAUGGCGAAAGCAGGUGACUGGACCACUAUUGACGCUCAUCCACGAAAGCUGGGGGAU